RNAcentral lists this ribosomal RNA (407 nucleotides) under uncultured Pseudomonas sp. RNAcentral describes it as "bacterial SSU rRNA". It matches the Rfam family "Bacterial small subunit ribosomal RNA", at positions 977 to 1382 of the family's 1533-position model. The record is from RNAcentral. Lineage: Bacteria; Pseudomonadati; Pseudomonadota; Gammaproteobacteria; Pseudomonadales; Pseudomonadaceae.
GGCCUUGACAUGCAGAGAACUUUCCAGAGAUGGAUUGGUGCCUUCGGGAACUCUGACACAGGUGCUGCAUGGCUGUCGUCAGGCUCGUGUCGUGAGAUGUUGGGUUAAGUCCCGUAACGAGCGCAACCCUUGUCCUUAGUUACCAGCACGUUAUGGUGGGCACUCUAAGGAGACUGCCGGUGACAAACCGGAGGAAGGUGGGGAUGACGUCAAGUCAUCAUGGCCCUUACGGCCUGGGCUACACACGUGCUACAAUGGUCGGUACAAAGGGUUGCCAAGCCGCGAGGUGGAGCUAAUCCCAUAAAACCGAUCGUAGUCCGGAUCGCAGUCUGCAACUCGACUGCGUGAAGUCGGAAUCGCUAGUAAUCGUGAAUCAGAAUGUCACGGUGAAUACGUUCCCGGGCCUU